GACGAACGCUGGCGGCGUGCUUAACACAUGCAAGUCGAACGGACAGGCCCUGCUUUUGUGGGGUGCUCGAGUGGCGAACGGGUGAGUAACACGUGAGUAACCUGCCCUUGUCUUUGGGAUAACUUCAGGAAACUGGGGCUAAUACCGGAUAGGAGCUCCUGCUGCAUGGUGGGGGUUGGAAAGUUUCGGCGGUUGGGGAUGGACUCGCGGCUUAUCAGCUUGUUGGUGGGGUAGUGGCUUACCAAGGCUUUGACGGGUAGCCGGCCUGAGAGGGUGACCGGCCACAUUGGGACUGAGAUACGGCCCAGACUCCUACGGGAGGCAGCAGUGGGGAAUAUUGCACAAUGGGCGGAAGCCUGAUGCAGCAACGCCGCGUGCGGGAUGACGGCCUUCGGGUUGUAAACCGCUUUCGCCUGUGACGAAGCGUGAGUGACGGUAAUGGGUAAAGAAGCACCGGCUAACUACGUG
This 468-nucleotide ribosomal RNA is filed under the name uncultured bacterium. RNAcentral describes it as "partial 16S ribosomal RNA". It matches the Rfam family "Bacterial small subunit ribosomal RNA", at positions 28 to 507 of the family's 1533-position model. The record is from RNAcentral.